Molecule: long non-coding RNA, 707 nt
Organism: Oxyura jamaicensis (ruddy duck)
Lineage: Eukaryota; Metazoa; Chordata; Aves; Anseriformes; Anatidae
Exons: 2
Source: RefSeq, a predicted model, not a curated record
UAAAACAAUUACAGAGUGUUUUGUAAUUGUCUGUUUCAGACCAGCUGUCAAAAGCAAAAGGAAGUAGCGUUGCCAUUACUUGUGAAUACAGCAGUGACACUUCACACAGAGAGGGCAUCAGUGUUGUCUGGAUACUAAACCGAAAUUCAGUGAUCUCAGUCCUGGCAGCCUUCAAUGGUACAUCUCACUCUUACCAGCCUCGAGUCCAGAUUAACAGAAGUGACUUUUCACUGCUGAUGAGUGAUCUUACCACAAAUGACAGUGGAGAAUAUAUCUGUAAUAUUUCAGCACCUCACUACACAAAACUUACUGUGAGAACAUUGCAAGUUGAACAUUCAGAUAACACUUGGAUAAUUGUGACAGCAGUGGCCGUACUGGUGGUGUUUGUACUGGUGGUGGUGGUGAUAGGAGUCUUUUAUCUCAAGGUACGUACAAACAUUAGGGUAUUUACUUUUGGGCAUACUAUUAAGCUGAAUUUCAGACCUUGAAUGUUUGACCAAAACAGAUUUGAUUUUCAUGGUAUAAAGGAUGCAAACAGGACUGAAAAACUUAGAAUAAUAAAUCUCAGCUUAAUUGCCCUCAUUUUUUCUAUAUUCUAUGUCCAAAAAGCCCUUUUUAGUACAUCUAGGCAAUAAUAUUUUAGUUGUAACAAUGCUAACAUGCCCUUUCCUUGACCAGAUUGCUCUCCUGCACUCUAUAAAGAGAUG